Molecule: ribosomal RNA, 818 nt
Filed under: uncultured Alphaproteobacteria bacterium
Lineage: Bacteria; Pseudomonadati; Pseudomonadota; Alphaproteobacteria
Description: bacterial SSU rRNA
Rfam family: Bacterial small subunit ribosomal RNA
Source: RNAcentral
GCAAUACUUAGUGGCAGACGGGUGAGUAACAUGUAGGUAUCUGCCCUUUGGCCUGGAAUAACACGAGGAAACUUGUGCUAAUACCGGAUAAGUCUUUACGGAGAAAGCUUUAUGCACCAUUGGAUGAGCCUGCACUUGAUUAGUUUGUUGGUGGGGUAAUGGCCUACCAAGACUGUGAUCAAUAGCUGAUUUGAGAGGAUGAUCAGCCACAUUGGGACUGAGACACGGCCCAAACUCCUACGGGAGGCAGCAGUGGGGAAUCUUGCACAAUGGAGGAAACUCUGAUGCAGCGAUGCCGCGUGAGUGAAGAAGGCCCUUGGGUUGUAAAGCUCUUUCGUCGGGGAAGAAAAUGACUGUACCCGAAUAAGAAGGUCCGGCUAACUUCGUGCCAGCAGCCGCGGUAAUACGAAGGGACCUAGCGUAGUUCGGAAUUACUGGGCUUAAAGAGUUCGUAGGUGGUUGAAAAAGUUAGUGGUGAAAUCCCAGAGCUUAACUCUGGAACUGCCAUUAAAACUUUUCAGCUAGAGUAUGAUAGAGGAAAGCAGAAUUUCUAGUGUAGAGGUGAAAUUCGUAGAUAUUAGAAAGAAUACCAAUUGCGAAGGCAGCUUUCUGGAUCAUUACUGACACUGAGGAACGAAAGCAUGGGUAGCGAAGAGGAUUAGAUACCCUCGUAGUCCAUGCCGUAAACGAUGUGUGUUAGACGUUGGAAAUUUAUUUUCAGUGUCGCAGGGAAACCGAUAAACACACCGCCUGGGGAGUACGACCGCAAGGUUAAAACUCAAAUGAAUUGACGGGGACCCGCACAAGUAGUGGAGCAU